This 2900-nucleotide ribosomal RNA is filed under the name Acinetobacter baumannii. RNAcentral describes it as "23S ribosomal RNA". It matches the Rfam family "Bacterial large subunit ribosomal RNA". The record is from RNAcentral. Lineage: Bacteria; Pseudomonadati; Pseudomonadota; Gammaproteobacteria; Moraxellales; Moraxellaceae.
GUUGUAUAGUCAAGUAAUUAAGUGCAUGUGGUGGAUGCCUUGGCAGUCAGAGGCGAUGAAAGACGUGAUAGCCUGCGAAAAGCUCCGGGGAGGCGGCAAAUAUCCUUUGAUCCGGAGAUGUCUGAAUGGGGGAACCCACCUACUUUAAGGUAGGUAUUGCAACAUGAAUACAUAGUGUUGCAAGGCGAACGAGGGGAAGUGAAACAUCUCAGUACCCUUAGGAAAAGAAAUCAAUUGAGAUUCCCUCAGUAGCGGCGAGCGAACGGGGAUCAGCCCAUUAAGUUAUGUGUGUUUUAGUGGAACGCUCUGGGAAGUGCGAACGUAGAGGGUGAUAUUCCCGUACACGAAAGGGCACACAUAAUGAUGACGAGUAGGGCGAGGCACGUGAAACCUUGUCUGAAUAUGGGGGGACCAUCCUCCAAGGCUAAAUACUCCUGACUGACCGAUAGUGAACCAGUACCGUGAGGGAAAGGCGAAAAGAACCCCUGUGAGGGGAGUGAAAUAGAUCCUGAAACCGCAUGCAUACAAGCAGUGGGAGCACCUUCGUGGUGUGACUGCGUACCUUUUGUAUAAUGGGUCAGCGACUUAUAUUCAGUAGCGAGGUUAACCGUAUAGGGGAGCCGUAGAGAAAUCGAGUCUUAAUAGGGCGUUUAGUUGCUGGGUAUAGACCCGAAACCAGGCGAUCUAUCCAUGAGCAGGUUGAAGGUUGGGUAACACUAACUGGAGGACCGAACCCACUGUCGUUGAAAAGCCAGGGGAUGACUUGUGGAUAGGGGUGAAAGGCUAAUCAAGCCUGGUGAUAGCUGGUUCUCCCCGAAAGCUAUUUAGGUAGCGCCUCGGACGAAUACCAUAGGGGGUAGAGCACUGUUUCGGCUAGGGGGUCAUCCCGACUUACCAAACCGAUGCAAACUCCGAAUACCUAUGAGUACUAUCCGGGAGACAGACUGCGGGUGCUAACGUCCGUAGUCAAGAGGAAAACAAUCCAGACCGCCAGCUAAGGCCCCAAAAUCAUAGUUAAGUGGGAAACGAUGUGGGAAGGCAUAGACAGCUAGGAGGUUGGCUUAGAAGCAGCCACCCUUUAAAGAAAGCGUAAUAGCUCACUAGUCGAGUCGGCCUGCGCGGAAGAUGUAACGGGGCUAAAACUAUGUGCCGAAGCUGCGGAUNNNNNNNNNNNNNNNNNNNNNNNNNNNNNNNNNNNNNNNNNNNAUGCUGGAGGUAUCAGAAGUGCGAAUGCUGACGUGAGUAACGACAAAACGGGUGAAAAACCCGUUCGCCGAAAGACCAAGGGUUCCAGUCCAACGUUAAUCGGGGCUGGGUGAGUCGACCCCUAAGGCGAGGCCGAAAGGCGUAGUCGAUGGGAAAAUGGUUAAUAUUCCAUUACUUCUGUGUAAUGCGAUGAGAGGACGGAGAAGGCUAAAUCAGCCUGGCGUUGGUUGUCCAGGUGAAAGGAUGUAGGCAUGUAUCUUAGGCAAAUCCGGGGUACUCUAUGCUGAGAUCUGAUAGCAAGCUGUACUUGUACAGCGAAGUGGUUGAUGCCAUGCUUCCAGGAAAAGUCUCUAAGCUUCAGUUACACAGGAAUCGUACCCGAAACCGACACAGGUGGUCAGGUCGAGUAGACCAAGGCGCUUGAGAGAACUCUGCUGAAGGAACUAGGCAAAAUGGUACCGUAACUUCGGGAGAAGGUACGCUGUUGUUGGUGAUGGAACUCGCUUCCUGAGCUGACGACAGCCGCAGAAACCAGGCCGCUGCAACUGUUUAUUAAAAACAUAGCACUCUGCAAACACGAAAGUGGACGUAUAGGGUGUGAUGCCUGCCCGGUGCUGGAAGGUUAAUUGAUGGGGUUAGCGUAAGCGAAGCUCUUGAUCGAAGCCCCAGUAAACGGCGGCCGUAACUAUAACGGUCCUAAGGUAGCGAAAUUCCUUGUCGGGUAAGUUCCGACCUGCACGAAUGGCAUAAUGAUGGCGGCGCUGUCUCCAGCAGAGGCUCAGUGAAAUCGAAAUCGCUGUGAAGAUGCAGUGUACCCGCGGCUAGACGGAAAGACCCCGUGAACCUUUACUGCAGCUUGACACUGAACUUUGACCUUACUUGUGUAGGAUAGGUGGGAGGCUUUGAAGCUGGAACGCUAGUUCCAGUGGAGCCGUCCUUGAAAUACCACCCUGGUAAUGUUGAGGUUCUAACUCUGUCCCGUGAUCCGGGACGAGGACCGUGUCUGGUGGGUAGUUUGACUGGGGCGGUCUCCUCCUAAAGAGUAACGGAGGAGUACGAAGGUGCGCUCAGCGUGGUCGGAAAUCACGCGUAGAGUAUAAAGGCAAAAGCGCGCUUAACUGCGAGACCCACAAGUCGAGCAGGUACGAAAGUAGGUCUUAGUGAUCCGGUGGUUCUGUAUGGAAGGGCCAUCGCUCAACGGAUAAAAGGUACUCUGGGGAUAACAGGCUGAUACCGCCCAAGAGUUCAUAUCGACGGCGGUGUUUGGCACCUCGAUGUCGGCUCAUCUCAUCCUGGGGCUGAAGCAGGUCCCAAGGGUAUGGCUGUUCGCCAUUUAAAGAGGUACGCGAGCUGGGUUUAGAACGUCGUGAGACAGUUCGGUCCCUAUCUACCGUGGGCGCUGGAAAUUUGAGAGGAUCUGCUCCUAGUACGAGAGGACCAGAGUGGACGAACCUCUGGUGUACCGGUUGUGACGCCAGUCGCAUCGCCGGGUAGCUAUGUUCGGAAGGGAUAACCGCUGAAAGCAUCUAAGCGGGAAGCCUACCUCAAGAUAAGAUUUCCCUAGGACUUUAUGUCCUCUAAAGAGCCGUUCGAGACUAGGACGUUGAUAGGUUGGAUGUGGAAGCAUAGUGAUAUGUGAAGCUGACCAAUACUAAUUGCUCGUGAGGCUUGACUAUACAACACCCAAGCAGUUG